Molecule: long non-coding RNA, 3863 nt
Organism: Apis cerana (Asiatic honeybee)
Lineage: Eukaryota; Metazoa; Arthropoda; Insecta; Hymenoptera; Apidae
Source: RefSeq, a predicted model, not a curated record
AACCUUAAUGUGUAACACGCAUAGAAAAAUUAUUAAAAAAAAUUGUGUGGUGUUAAAAGAAAUAUAUAUAUAAUUAAAUUAAUACAAUUACAUUUAACGUUCUUUCGUUCUUUUCUUUUAUUAUUAUUAUAUUAAAACGUUAACUUGAAAUUUUUAACGAUAUAAUAUAUCAACUUGACAAACACCAAGAUUUGAGAUCGAAAUAAACGAUAGUAGUCUUACUACUUGUUAUUGAAACGAGUGUUUCAAAGUGUUUCUAUUUCUAUCAAAUGUCAAUACAAUCAAAGAUUGAAAAUAGAAAAGCUGAUGCAAGAGCAAGUGAUUUUUCUCGAAAACGAACGUUUCUUUAAUGUUUCACGAACAAUUGCAAGAUAUAUCGAAUGCAACUUAGCAAAUUCGAGAGAAAGGAUUUUUCAAUCGUAUCUCACGGAAUGAAAUUCGAACAGGCUCUCGCUCUCGGUCCACUCGAGGGAAAGAUUACUUUUCCACUUUUCGCGUCGCUGUCGCCAUGCUAGAUCCUUGCUUGGUAUCCUUUGUUCUUUCAAUCUUACUGUCAUUGGGGAUAUCGAUAGGACUCGUUUCGAAAAUUAUUCCUAUUAAUAUCUUUUCGUUUCCAGAAAUAAUUUCUUAUUCGUAAAAUAAUAUUACUCGUUGUAAUUCGAUUAUAAAAAUAAUCGAUAUCUUAACAUUAAAAAUCUUUUUUAUUCUAGUAUUCGAGUCGAAAUUAAGCUAAUCCACCAUUAAAUAAAUAAACUGAGGACAGAGAGCGUCUAUUCUCCAUCGAAUGAAAAAAAAAAAAGCAAUAAAGGAGAAGACAAAGUGUCUCUAAGGUGACUCGGUCGUCUAAAAGCAACUAUUCUACACGUUUUUCAAGAAUAGGUACCCGUCCCCAUGGGUUUUGUCCGCGAGCAAAGAAAGCAUCGAAGUAAAGAGAAUCGAUGAUACCCUACCACAGAAGCAAGUUGUGCGAUCAGCCUGCAAGUAACCCGAGAUAAGAAUAAGGAUCGUCCAGAGAAUUGGUGAAACAAGACAAAUCGAGAUCGGACCAAUCCGGUUCCUCGCCAUGGAUCUAAAUUAAAAUCCAAAUUAUCCAAAGUGAAGGAAACGUCGAAUGAACGAGAUACAAUAGAUUGGAGGUAUUUUUCCUCGGAGCAAACUAUCAGAAGAGACAACGGUUUUCCAUUUUCCAACAACGAUCGGUGUUCCCCCCACGACACUUCCGGGAGAUCAGCUCGUCGCUGGGAGGAGUGGCAGAGCGGUGUUCGAGGAGAAGGAAAAAAGGGCAAAGACCGUGGCGGAGGAAAGAGGUGACCCGGAUUUCUUUGCCUCUUUGCACCAGAGAAAACGGUAUCUCAAGGUGGCCCAUCAUUUUUCGUAAGGGGAGGUUUUGGCACCGCGGUUGCCACCCUCCCCUCCCCUCCAUUCCGAAUGAUCGAUCGAUCAGCCAGAAGUUUUAUCCCUUUAUAAGAACGAGAGAAGCGAUGUUAUUCUUAUGUACACGAUAUUUCUUAAUCAGGAUCGCUUUCUGUCGCCCUACUUGGUCCGCCACUCUACAUGCAAUGUGGAAAAAGAGGCUAUCUAUUCAGCUUAAUUGAAUUCACGCCCCACGAGUGUAACAAGGAGGAGCAAUCAAAAGAGGGAUAAGUGGCCCUUUGGUGGGCAAGCACUCUGAAAAAACGUUCAUUUUCCUCGAAGAGAAUCAUCUUCGAGAGAUGGACGAAAGAGUAUUCUUGGCGAUGAUAAUAAAACGAACAGAAAUCUGUUCUACGGCGUUUGGAGAAUCGUUUUCGAAACUUUCGACGGCCGACGAAGUUCGAAGAAGAAGCCGGCGUUCCGUUUCAAAGGCGAUCGAUUGACCUUCCCACUUUCCUCCACGCUGGACUGCGUUUUCGGCCUUACCUUGCACCUGCGAGAAGGCAAAGGGCAAACGAGAUUGACAGAUUGAUAAAUAGCUCAUAGAAACAAGAGCGAUAUCAAUGAGUUAUCGAUAUCGGAAGAAAGGUAUAAGGAAUAAAAUUAACAUAUUUGAAAUUUUAACUACGCGUGGAUAUUAAUAAUAUGCGGAUCUUUUAAACGAGUUUCCCAGGUCGAUUGAGUUUAAAAAAAAAGGUUAUUUGAGUGCACGCGUACUACUCGAAUCCACGAACUCGAAAACUGCCCUUUCUCCAAAAUUUCGUCCCUGUUGAUUAUAUCUCGUCUCGUACAAUCCUCCGUAUAUGUCGCUCGUGCGAGAAGACACGUUGCGUAUAUUCGAUUGUAAAGUUCGCAGUGCUCCAUCGGUAAAUUCGUAACGCGGAUGACGUCAUCGGUGAGCGCGCGCAAAUGCCCCUGUUUCGCGAUCCGCAAACGUCCGUUUUCCGCGAUCCGUGCCACGGGGGCACCGCCAUCGUAAAGCCAUUUCGGGGAUCGCGCGACAUAAAUUAUAAAAUCGACCGACGCCAGAUCGUCUGUGCAAUGGCCGGCAUGUAGGACGCCGCGGAAGAAUAUCCCCCUUCGUUUAUUCGUUUUAUAUCUUUCAGCUCUCGAUCGACACGUGGAAUAGGCCUGAGUUUGGGGGAAAAACGAUUCGAUCCACGCAUUUUCCUUUCCGUAAACGUGACAAGGGAGGAUGAGUGUUGAAACGAGAAGUAAGUGUAAUAAUACAAGCUUAAGAUAACUUUGUUGCAUUUUUUAGGUUAGAUGUGUUAAGAAGUGUGUGGAAAAUUGCGGAAAGGAGAGGAUUGAAAGAGAAGGAUAAAGAAUCGUUGGAAAGGAAUGAAAGAGAGAGGUUAGGUGCAACAGAUCGGCGAAAUUCGGGCCACGAGGUUUAUACGAUGUGUACAGUGUGUUUCGAUUUCCCACGAGAGAUGAGGCAAAUUCAUAACCCAAUCGGCAAAUACAACAAUUGAUUCUUGCCACUCGAAUAUCCACGAUUAAACAAGGAGGAAUAUAAAACGACGUCGACGUGUUUCUACUAAAAAGGACGUAUACGAGGUGAUAUAUAUUCACUUAUGGUAGAUGAAGAAAGAAACCAUGGUAUUGAAAAUGCACGUAUCGCCGAUCCGGCGAUGUGUGAAUUUGGCAGAAAUCCAGAACUACCGUCACCAAAAAGAAAGAAAGCCCGCGACACGGCCGAUAAUCGUCGAAAUCGUCUUUUGUUGACGAUUUGAUAGACGAAUCGAAUUGACGUCAAGAAUCGAAUUAAAUAGUAGUUUUCAACGUUUAACUGCUUAUUGUGUGUGUAAAUUUUCGAUGGAAAGAAAAGGAUCUAUUUCAUAUCACGAUCGAUCAUUCGUGCAGACCACGUUGAUUCUAUCCACAGGGGUGUACAGUUCGACGCGUACGCAUUGUUCCAUGGCUACAUUUUGCUCGUAAAUCGAUCGAGUCUCUGGCAAUGGAAAAACAUAAUGGAAAUUGAUGUGUUUCAAAGAGUUUUGAUAAAUCUGGAUAAACAGAUAGGAAAAUGCUCCACUGGAAAUAUAUUCUAUUUUAAUCUUUAAUUCGAAAUAUAAGAUUGAAAAAAAUUUUGAAAAUUCUAAGCUUGAAACGAUAUUUUGGAAAUCUUUGAAAUGACUCCUCGAAGACUUGGAAUGGAAAAGGAAUUCUUGAAAUUAACAAGAAUUUCGGGCCUCCCUAAUCUUCGAUGACCCAAAUAUUUUCCCUUCUGACUGGUGCAGAAUUGCAGUAAGCGAUCAGUCGUGCUCUUUCAUCUGCGCUUCUUUCAAAAAAAUUAUCGUAUGACAAAGUAAUGAUUCGUGAUCGAGGAACUAAAGAAAUCUAUAAGGAAGAAACAAACUACAGAAGAGAAAGCAAAUUUUAAAUAAAAGAGAAACCUUUGUUAAAUUUCUCAAGAACUGUAUAAGAAUCAUUGGGAAAAAUUGUCA